CUGGUCCGGAUUGGUGGCCCGUCCAGAAUGGAACAACCUGCUUCCUGCUCACGGAGACCGGGUCGGACCCGCCAUAUACAAGAGCCUGAGGCUGCAAAAAAAAAGAUUGAUCUUCAUGAAGACUGUC
This is a long non-coding RNA of Solea senegalensis (Senegalese sole), 127 nucleotides long. RefSeq lists it as uncharacterized. The transcript has 3 exons. The record is from RefSeq and is a predicted model, not a curated record. NCBI's taxonomy places the organism in Eukaryota, Metazoa, Chordata, Actinopteri, Pleuronectiformes, Soleidae.